RNAcentral lists this ribosomal RNA (263 nucleotides) under uncultured bacterium. Its description in RNAcentral is "partial 16S ribosomal RNA". It matches the Rfam family "Bacterial small subunit ribosomal RNA", at positions 793 to 1055 of the family's 1533-position model. The record is from RNAcentral.
GUCCACGCCCUAAACGAUGAUCACUAGUUGUUCGGAAAGGUGACUUUCUGAGUAACGUAGCUAACGCGUGAAGUGAUCCGCCUGGGGAGUACGGUCGCAAGAUUAAAACUCAAAGGAAUUGACGGGGACCCGCACAAGCGGUGGAUGAUGUGGAUUAAUUCGAUGCAACGCGAAAACCUUACCUACCCUUGACAUGCUUGGAAGAUCGCAGAGAUGUGAUUGUGCCUUCGGGAACCAAGACACAGGUGCUGCAUGGCUGUCGU